UGGGUUGUGGCUCAGAGGUAGAGCAUUCGCCUAGCAUGCGUGAGGCACUGGGUUCGAUCCUCAGCAUCACAU
This is a non-coding RNA of Ictidomys tridecemlineatus (thirteen-lined ground squirrel), 72 nucleotides long. Lineage: Eukaryota; Metazoa; Chordata; Mammalia; Rodentia; Sciuridae. The record is from Rfam.